RNAcentral lists this ribosomal RNA (302 nucleotides) under uncultured bacterium. RNAcentral describes it as "partial 16S ribosomal RNA". It matches the Rfam family "Bacterial small subunit ribosomal RNA", at positions 508 to 809 of the family's 1533-position model. The record is from RNAcentral.
GCAGCCGCCGCGGGAAAACGUAGGUGGCAAGCGUUGUCCGGAAUUAUUGGGCGUAAAGGGCUCGCAGGCGGUUUCUUAAGUCUGAUGUGAAAGCCCCCGGCUCAACCGGGGAGGGUCAUUGGAAACUGGGAAACUUGAGUGCAGAAGAGGAGAGUGGAAUUCCACGUGUAGCGGUGAAAUGCGUAGAGAUGUGGAGGAACACCAGUGGCGAAGGCGACUCUCUGGUCUGUAACUGACGCUGAGGAGCGAAAGCGUGGGGAGCGAACAGGAUUAGAUACCCCUGUAGUCCCUGUCUCUUAUAA